Molecule: ribosomal RNA, 236 nt
Filed under: Glomeromycotina sp.
Lineage: Eukaryota; Fungi; Glomeromycota
Description: partial small subunit ribosomal RNA
Rfam family: Eukaryotic small subunit ribosomal RNA (bases 40-236)
Source: RNAcentral
GGGUCAGUAGGUUGGUCGUGCCACCGGUACGUACUGGUCUCACUGAUUCCUCCUUCCUGAAGAACCGUAAUGCCAUUAAUUUGGUGUUGCGGGGAAACAGGACUGUUACUUUGAAAAAAUUAGAGUGUUUAAAGCAAGCUAACGCUUGAAUACAUUAGCAUGGAAUAAUGAAAUAGGACGAUCGAUCCUAUUUUGUUGGUUUCUAGGAUUGACGCAAUGAUUAAUAGAUAGUUGGG